This 540-nucleotide ribosomal RNA is filed under the name Fusarium oxysporum f. sp. ciceris. RNAcentral describes it as "eukaryotic LSU rRNA". The stretch from base 136 to 290 matches the Rfam family "5.8S ribosomal RNA". The record is from RNAcentral. Lineage: Eukaryota; Fungi; Ascomycota; Sordariomycetes; Hypocreales; Nectriaceae.
CAAACCCCUGUGACAUACCACUUGUUGCCUCGGCGGAUCAGCCCGCUCCCGGUAAAACGGGACGGCCCGCCAGAGGACCCCUAAACUCUGUUUCUAUGAUGUAACUUCUGAGUAAAACCAGACUAAAUAAAUCAAAACUUUCAACAACGGAUCUCUUGGUUACUGGCAUCGAUGAAGAACGCAGCAAAAUGCGAUAAGUAAUGUGAAUUGCAGAAUUCAGUGAAUCAUCGAAUCUUUGAACGCACAUUGCGCCCGCCAGUAUUCUGGCGGGCAUGCCUGUUCGAGCGUCAUUUCAACCCUCAAGCCCUCGGGUUUGGUGUUGGGGAUCGGCGAGCCCUUGCGGCAUUAGCCGGCCCCGAAAUCUAGUGGCGGUCUCGCUGCAGCCUCCAUUGCGUAGUAGUAAAACCCUCGCAACUGGAACGCGGCGCGGCCAAGCCGUUAAACCCCCAACUUCUGAAUGUUGACCUCGGAUCAGGUAGGAAUACCCGCUGAACUUAAGCAUAUCAAUAAGGCAUAUCAAUAAGGCGGGAGGAAACUUUA